RNAcentral lists this ribosomal RNA (104 nucleotides) under uncultured bacterium. RNAcentral describes it as "partial 16S ribosomal RNA". It matches the Rfam family "Bacterial small subunit ribosomal RNA", at positions 1379 to 1482 of the family's 1533-position model. The record is from RNAcentral.
CCUUGUACACACCGCCCGUCACACCAUGGGAGUGGGUUGCUCCAGAAGUAGCUAGUCUAACCUUCGGGGGGACGGUUACCACGGAGUGAUUCAUGACUGGGGUG